Jatropha curcas is the source of this 1605-nucleotide non-coding RNA. The record is from RefSeq and is a predicted model, not a curated record. Lineage: Eukaryota; Viridiplantae; Streptophyta; Magnoliopsida; Malpighiales; Euphorbiaceae.
CGGUCGCACCGAGAAGCCCCUAGAACAAAAACCGAAUUUUCUCGAUUGUUCUCUCCUGAUUAUUGGGAUCACCCAGAGGCAGUUGUAGUCUGUUUCAUGUUGUUGCUGCUGAGAAAAAACACGCGCAAGCCAUUGCUGGUUUACCACUGAGCAAAUAUUAAUAGUAUAUUUCAAAACUUUGCUUAAAUGCGUGGAAUAGCUGCAUUAUUACCUGUGAAAUACAAAUUGAAACAAGUCUUCCCUGCUUCGGGAUCAUGGGGCACCGUGGCUACUUCAACUCCGAAGAAACAAGAAAAUCAUGAUUUUGCUGAAGAAAGACGACUUUUCGGUGAGAAGGCAGAUCCAAUUGUUGCCUUUAGUAGACCUCCGCCACUCCCACCUGUUUUUGGACCGCUGGUUGCUCUCUCACUGUUCCAAAUGUUGCCGAACCAUGAUGAUGGUGACGAUAACUGACUGAUGAUGCAAAGCUAUAGAUUUUAUGUACAUAAGAACCUUAGUAAGUGUUCUCUUACUGAAAGUAUUUCUUAUGAAUGUGGAGUAGGAUGUUUAGUGCCAAGGCAAAUAAUCGAGCCACGAAAUUCCAAAUCCUGAUGUACCCUGAUAGAAGUGGAUUGAUAAUAGGUGCAUAAAGUCUAGAGUAAAUCUUCAUAAAGAAUUGCACUAUGACAUGAGGACUCUUUAGGAACCCUGCAAAAAAGUAAGUAUUGCAAGUAAUAUGGUUAUCUUGCUGUGUUGUUUUGUACUAGUUGCUAUUUGUUGAAGUGUUAAUGAAUGUUAACUUACAAUCUGCAAACUUUGGGAAAUCAUCGAACAUUCCAGUCACAUUUUUUAACAGAACCUGAAGGAAAACAAAUAUUAAAGUCAGUUAUUGAGUUGGGACAAGAAUUGUUAUAUUCUUAUGUAAAACAAUUGUACUUACCAGCACCAUGCCUCCUGGUUUUAUAGGUGAUUCGACCACAACCCGAGCUUUCCUGCAACAAAGUACUAAUUAAUGAUAAGGUUUUGUUUCCUAACAAAAUUGGAUUUUAAAUUUCAAACAUUUUAUUUUUAUUAAUUUGGUAGGUACUUGAUAACUAGUCUGUCCCCUUCUUGUGAGCAUUCGUAAAAGCUGCAUCCCCUGGUGAAAGUGGAGAAACGAAGGAACAGUCUUCAAAGCAACAGUCAUCUGAAAUAUACUCAUCUAGUUCCUUCAAUUUUUUUUCAUUAAUACACGCAAAGAACUGCUUGAUCAGACUUGCUGCAGAUAGCUGAUUUAAUGUAAUAUCUUCACUAUCUGAAGCUGAUGGCACGGGAAAUUUGCACCUUCGAGUCUGCCUUCUGAAGCCGAUUUGAUACUGCUGUAUCUUUGUGUUUUUCUGAGAUGAUCGUUUAAAUGGCAUGUAGCCUGGCUUGAUGCUAGAUGCUAUUUUGGAGCAGAUGGUCUGCUGUGGGAUUUGACAUGAAAAAAUGACAGUAGAAGCCAUUUCCUGCAAACAGAAGAAGAUGGGGAAGUGGACAGCGAGCUUAGGAAAUGUAAUGUAACGAGGAGGGGUAAUAAGAUUGAAUCAAAAUAUGAAAGAACUGAGCAAGGAAUAAAGUAAUCAUUGUUUGAGACUUGGCUGGAAA